This is an RNA transcript of Nelumbo nucifera (sacred lotus), 3506 nucleotides long. RefSeq lists it as uncharacterized. The record is from RefSeq and is a predicted model, not a curated record. Lineage: Eukaryota; Viridiplantae; Streptophyta; Magnoliopsida; Proteales; Nelumbonaceae.
UUUUUCGUGUGAUGGUCUGGACGUGAUGCCAAGGCAGGGUCUCAGGCCGCAGCGGAGUGCUAAACUCCUUUGAGAUAACCAUCCUUGACAUGACCAUCAGGUUCGUCACUGCAAAAGAGUAGUCGUAGUUCCGUACAUUCUCUCUCUGCACCUGCAAUAGCGUAAGGAAACAAAACCUAGAAAAAUAAAUCUGUAACUCCGAUCAAUUUGCAACCCCAGAGACAUCGAUUCCUGUAGUGUUGAAUGAUCGGAUUUUCUCGUUUCUUAUUUUGUUUGUCAAGUUUACCAUGGGAGCCAGUCGAAAACUUCAGGGUGAGAUCGAUCGAGUUCUGAAGAAGGUCCAAGAAGGCGUUGAUGUCUUCGACAGCAUCUGGAACAAGGUUUACGACACGGAUAAUGCGAACCAGAAAGAGAAAUUCGAGGCGGAUUUGAAGAAAGAAAUCAAGAAACUGCAGAGAUACCGAGACCAGAUCAAGACAUGGAUACAAUCGAGCGAGAUAAAGGAUAAGAAGGUUAGUGCCUCUUAUGAGCAGGCUCUGCUGGAUGCUCGCAAGCUUAUUGAGCGUGAAAUGGAAAGAUUUAAAGUCUGUGAAAAGGAAACUAAGACAAAAGCCUUCUCAAAAGAAGGGUUGGGUCAACAACCUAAAACUGAUCCAAAAGAGAAAGCAAAAUCAGAGACAAGGGAUUGGUUGAACAAUGUGGUUUCAGAGCUGGAAUCUCAAAUUGAUUGCUUUGAAGCUGAUAUUGAGGGCCUCUCUGUGAAGAAAGGGAAGGCAAGGCCACCCAGACUGACUCAUUUAGAGACCUCUAUUGCUCGGCAUAAAGCUCAUAUAAUGAAGUUAGAGUUGAUUUUGAGAUUGCUGGAUAAUGAUGAAUUGAGUCCUGAGCAGGUCAAUGAUGUAAGAGACUUUUUGGAUGACUAUGUUGAACGCAACCAGGAGGAUUUUGAAGAAUUCAGUGAUGUUGAUGAGCUCUACAGCUCUCUACCAUUAGACAAAGUGGAGUCACUUGAAGAUCUCGUAACAGUUGUUCCUCCUGGCCUUGCUAAGGGUGUCGGUUCUGCUAGUGCAGUUUUGAGCUUGAAGACUCCUAUUGCAGCUUCAACAACUCAAAUGCCGGCCACAUUAGCGUCUACUGUUCAGCAAGGUAAUUCCAUUCAGGAUCAAGCUGAAGAGUCUGCUUCCCAGGACAGUAGUUCCGAUAUUGCUCCACGAACCCCACCUUCAAAAAAUAGUACAGUGGGUUCUUCAACUUCAUCAACACCAGCAGGGAGUCAUGUAGCUACUGUUACUGGCAAUUUGCCGACACGUAAUUUGGCUGGUGGGUCAACUACUUCAGCAAUCCUUUCAGCUCCAGCAUCUAUUCGAGGUGUGGUGGAUAACUCUGUUGCGACUGUUUCUCCAUCCCCAGUAAACUUGUCUAAUUCCACUAAGGAAGAAGAGAACUCAAGCUUCCCUGGUCGAAGACCAUCACCAGCUCUUACUGAAAUUGGUGUAGGAAGAGGAAUUGGUAGAGGUUCAAUGGCUGGAGGUGUACCCAGCCAACCAUCAAACAAUGUACCUUUAAGUUCUGGAAGUUCACUUCCUGGCAAUGGAGCGCUUGGUGCAGUCCCUACUGCUUCUGACAUGGCAAAGAAAAAUAUUUUAGGGGCUGAUAGUGGCAUCAUGCAACCAUUGGUUUCCCCACUAAGCAAUAGAAUUCUCUUACCCCAGGUAUCUAAGGGGAAUGAUGGAACUGGUUCUGCUGAUUCUAACAAUUCUGGUGAGGGUGCAGUUGUAGGUGGCAGAGUUUUCUCCCCUUCUGUGGUUCCAGGUGUACAAUGGAGGCCUGGAACAUCAUUUCAGACUCAGAAUGAAGCGGGUCAAUUUCGUGUUCAACCCGAUCAGAGAGAGAAAUUUUUGCAGAAAUUCCACCAAGUGCAACAGCAGCAGCAGCAGCAUUCUCAACUCGCUGGGGGAAAUCAUAAGCAGUUCACUACACAACAGCAAGGCUCACUAUUACAGCAGUUUAAUUCACAAAACUCAUCAUUGUCACCUCAAGUUGGACUGGGUCUUGGGGUUCAGGGAGCAGGUCUAAAUUCUGUUACAUCAGCUUCUUUACAACAGCCAAAUUUUAUUCAUCCACAGGCUGCUCAGCGUGCUUUGAGCUCACCUGGACCCAAAGAGUCAGACACUAGUCAUACAAAAGUUGAUGACCAACAGCAACAACAAAAUCCAUCUGAUGACUCAAGUGUUGAACCUACCACAAGUGUUGGGCUCAGCAAAAAUCUCAUGAAUGAGGAUGAUCUGAAGAGUCCAUACUCAGUAGAUGCACCUGUUGGAGGAUCUGGCUCACUAAUGGAACCUGCCCAGGUGCCAAGAGAUACUGAUCUCUCUCCUGGGCAACCAUUACAAUCCAAUCAACCUUCACUUGGUUUGGGGGUCAUUGGUCGGAGAAGUGCUUCUGACCUUGGUGCAAUUGGCGAUAAUCUCAGUGGAUCCACUACAAAUUCCACGGGAAUGCAUGAUCAAGUAUACAAUCUGCAGAUGCUUGAGGCUGCAUAUUACAAACUUCCUCAACCAAAAGACUCAGAACGUGCAAAAAGCUACAUUCCUAGACAUCCUGCAGUGACACCUCCAAGCUACCCUCAAAUGCAGGCACCCAUUGUUGACAAUCCUGCCUUUUGGGAGCGAUUGGGUGUUGAUACUAUGGGCACUGAUACUUUGUUCUUUGCAUUUUACUUUCAACAGAAUACUUAUCAGCAAUACUUGGCCGCAAGAGAGUUGAAAAAGCAAUCCUGGAGAUACCACAGGAAAUACAACACAUGGUUUCAGCGGCACGAGGAACCAAGAGUCACCACUGAUGAAUGUGAACAAGGGACUUAUGUAUACUUUGAUUUCCAUAUUGCCAAUGAUGAUUCACAACAUGGGUGGUGCCAGAGGAUUAAGACUGAAUUCACUUUCGAGUACAGUUAUCUUGAAGAUGAGCUUGUUGUAUAGAAGUACGUGCAGAAAACCAGAACUAUCCACAGACAAAUUUUUGGCAAAUUGCUGAUGGGGGCUACAAAACUGAAUGGUUGCUUAUCAAUUUACAAUCAUUAACUUCAAUACGGAGAAAUGGUAUUGGCAUGCGAGAAGCUCACAACCGUCUGAUAUGCUUGAAUUGGGGGCUUGCUGUUUCUAGGUUCCACUAAUAAUAAGCAGGGAUGUGUCUUAUUAGGGUUGAAAAUCAUGGGUGGGUCCUGGGUUAAUCAUGGAACUUCAUAUGGCUUAAUCCUGAUGCAGAUGAACUGCAUCAUUUCCUCGGUCUCUGUUUUUUUCACCCAUAUUCUACUGUGAAGAGUUCUUGUGUAGGAGCUCCUUGCAACAGAACUCUAGUUGAUAUCAUGUUCCUUAACAUGGGAAUUUUUUGAUGGGGAAGUGCUGAAAUAUUUUAUAUUGGAAUUUUUUAGAUGCCAAUUAUAGACAAUACUCACAAUUUCGUUUUCUACUUGUUUCCAUAUAAACCGAACUAUAAUCUUUUUGUAA